Molecule: ribosomal RNA, 369 nt
Filed under: uncultured Verrucomicrobiota bacterium
Lineage: Bacteria; Pseudomonadati; Verrucomicrobiota
Description: bacterial SSU rRNA
Rfam family: Bacterial small subunit ribosomal RNA
Source: RNAcentral
GGCGAAAGGGUGCGUAACACGUUGGUAAUCUACCGUGAAGUUGGGAACAACCUGCCGAAAGGUAGGCUAAUGCCGAAUGUGGGUCACACUGGAUAACUGGAGUGGCCUAAAGCCGGGGACCGCAAGGCCUGGCGCUUUACGAUGAACCUGCGGCCUAUCAGCUAGUUGGUGAGGUAACGGCCCACCAAGGCGAUGACGGGUAGCUGGUCUGAGAGGACGACCAGCCACACUGGAACUGAGACACGGUCCAGACACCUACGGGUGGCAGCAGUCGAGAAUCUUUCACAAUGGGGGAAACCCUGAUGGAGCGACGCCGCGUGGGGGAUGAAGGGCUUCGGCUCGUAAACCCCUGUCAUUCGUGAGCAAAGC